AUUAUGGCUCAGAUUGAACGCUGGCGGCGUGCUUAACAUAUGCAAGUCGCGCGUGAAAGGACUUCGGUCCGAGUAAAGCGGCGCACGGGUGAGUAACGCGUGGAUGAUCUACCCAUGAGUUAGGAAUAACGGCUGGAAACGGUCGCUAAUACCAAAUACGCUCCGAUUUCAACUUCGGGGGGAAAGGUGGCCUCUGCUUGCAAGCUACUGCUCAUGGAUGAGUCCGCGUCCCAUUAGCUAGUUGGUGGGUAACGGCCCACCAAGGCGACGAUGGGUAGCCGGUCUGAGAGGAUGACCGGCCACACUGGGACUGGAACACGGCCCAGACUCCUACGGGAGGCAGCAGUGGGGAAUAUUGCGCAAUGGGCGAAAGCCUGACGCAGCGACGCCGCGUGAGGGAUGAAAGGUCCUCGGAUCGUAAACCUCUGUCAGGAGGGAAGAACCGCCACGGUGCUAAUCAGCCGUGGUCUGACGGUACCUCCAAAGGAAGCACCGGCUAACUCCGUGCCAGCAGCAGC
RNAcentral lists this ribosomal RNA (518 nucleotides) under uncultured bacterium. Its description in RNAcentral is "bacterial SSU rRNA". It matches the Rfam family "Bacterial small subunit ribosomal RNA", at positions 16 to 518 of the family's 1533-position model. The record is from RNAcentral.